UACAGAGGGGGCAAGCGUUGUUCGGAAUUACUGGGCGUAAAGCGUGCGCAGGCGGUGAUGUAAGACAGGUGUGAAAUCCCCGGGCUUAACCUGGGAACUGCAUUUGUGACUGCAUCGCUGGAGUGCGGCAGAGGGGGAUGGAAUUCCGCGUGUAGCAGUGAAAUGCGUAGAUAUGCGGAGGAACACCGAUGGCGAAGGCAAUCCCCUGGGCCUGCACUGACGCUCAUGCACGAAAGCGUGGGGAGCAAACAGG
RNAcentral lists this ribosomal RNA (253 nucleotides) under uncultured bacterium. RNAcentral's name for it is "partial 16S ribosomal RNA". It matches the Rfam family "Bacterial small subunit ribosomal RNA", at positions 524 to 776 of the family's 1533-position model. The record is from RNAcentral.